RNAcentral lists this ribosomal RNA (312 nucleotides) under Triticum aestivum (bread wheat). RNAcentral's name for it is "partial small subunit ribosomal RNA". Lineage: Eukaryota; Viridiplantae; Streptophyta; Magnoliopsida; Poales; Poaceae. The record is from RNAcentral.
AUGUGGACGCGGCGGACGGCGAGGAGACGUGCGGCGCGUCCGCUUUGCGUCCGCGCCGACGCAUUUCAGGUGCAAUUUUGGGCCGGAAAUGGGUCGGCGUGGACGCCAGGCGGACACGAUUUGAGUUUGGGUCGGCGUGUUGGGCCGCCACUUUUGUCCGCGCCGACCCAAACAGACGCGGGCGGACGAAAUGGGUCGCCCCAUUGGAGUUGCUCUGAUUUUCGUCCUCGAGCUAGACUACGAUCCUCCUCAAAUUCAUCCAUCAUGACGCAGACGACAGAGCUUUGGCAUAGAUUUCUAUCGUCUCCUUGA